This 253-nucleotide ribosomal RNA is filed under the name uncultured bacterium. RNAcentral describes it as "partial 16S ribosomal RNA". It matches the Rfam family "Bacterial small subunit ribosomal RNA", at positions 524 to 776 of the family's 1533-position model. The record is from RNAcentral.
UACGAAGGGGGCUAGCGUUGUUCGGAAUUACUGGGCGUAAAGCGUGCGCAGGCGGCUUCUCAAGUCAGGGGUGAAAGCCCAGAGCUCAACUCUGGAAUUGCCUUUGAGACUGAGUGGCUUGAGUACGAGAGAGGUGAGUGGAAUUCCCAGUGUAGAGGUGAAAUUCGUAGAUAUUCGGAGGAACACCAGUGGCGAAGGCGGCUCACUGGCUCGGUACUGACGCUGAGGUGCGAAAGCGUGGGGAGCAAACAGG